This is a long non-coding RNA of Drosophila santomea, 497 nucleotides long. RefSeq lists it as uncharacterized. NCBI's taxonomy places the organism in Eukaryota, Metazoa, Arthropoda, Insecta, Diptera, Drosophilidae. The transcript is spliced from 2 exons. The record is from RefSeq and is a predicted model, not a curated record.
CAGGCAGGCCAAGUUGGCGCCUUGGCGUCAUCAUAAUUUAAAUCGAGCCACGCGCACCGAGCGGAGGUCGGCGGUCCUUCUGCCGCAUAUAAAAUCACUCUUUACCUGUUGAUCGGUUGGGAUUCAAAUUGGGAACGGGAACGGGAACGGAAUCGGGAUUGGAUUGGAUCCGUGCCUGCGGAUAGGGCGCCUGGCGGAAGGUUAUGACAAUUUUACACGCUAAUUGGGCACCAAACAUUUUGAAUUUAUGGAAAUUUUAUUACACUCUAGAACAGAGUAAGGGUUGUAAAGGAAAUGGUUAUUGGAAUGCUUUUACCAAGGACAACAUCCGCCUAAUAUCGAUGACUAUAGUGCUGUUAAGUGGAAAUAUGCUUAAAAAUUAUAGUAAUAUCUAAAUACGUGUGGUAAUUAAAAUGUAUAGCAGAUUAAAUUAUGACACAAAUAACUGAAUGAAUUAUAAAGAGCACUGAAAUAUGCAAUAUAAAGUAUAAAAUUCA